Molecule: long non-coding RNA, 721 nt
Organism: Piliocolobus tephrosceles (Ugandan red Colobus)
Lineage: Eukaryota; Metazoa; Chordata; Mammalia; Primates; Cercopithecidae
Exons: 2
Source: RefSeq, a predicted model, not a curated record
UCAAGUUUCUGGUUGGGGGAAAGGGGGGACUCUGUAGUGCUAGCUUGGGUAAACAAUGCUUUCCAACAGAGGUUUCUGGAAGUGCCUCUGGAACUCCGCAAAGGAUUGACUUAAAUUUCAUUAACAAAAUAUAUUUUUUAAAACUGCAAUUAGAAUAAUUUCAGAACUCCAUGUGUUGAAUUUGGCCUCCAUCAAAGAAGAGGUGCAAAUGGUUAACUUGUAGAUUGGUGAAGUCAAUCUUGGGCCAACUUCUGGACUCGUGGUUAUUUGUUGUUGUUAAUUUAAUGUAUAUCCCGAGUCUGAAAAGCAAGCGGUUUUUUAAAAAAUGGUUACCAUUCAGAAUGACUUCUCUGUAGGAUCAGAACUGGUUCACUUUACAGUCAACCCAACUUGGAGGGGGAAAAAUAGGUGCUGCAGAUGGCAUUGUGAAGACCCCGUUUCCCUAGCUGUGCAGUUGCAAGGUCAACUAGACAGAUAAACUCAAGUCGUAAAACAUGCUUCUCCUUGAAAAGUAAGAAAUGAUGUAAUGCGUGUCUCAAUUAAUUUAAUAACGGGCUUUGUUUCUUGCUUUUGUAAUAUGCUUCCCCCCGCAAAGAUCUCCCCCUGCCUCACAAAAUGCUUAAAAGGUAACUUAACUCUUUGUUCAGGGCUCAGUCCUUUGGAUUUUAAUCCGACUGGGCCAGUGCACCUAAAUAAUUAAUAAAUAUCCUCCUGAACCCCA